AGUAAGCUCCUUGAGGACUGGAACUGUUUUUCUGCAAAUAAACCUUGAAAGAAUGCAGAGCAACUAAAGGAACAGUGAAGGGACUUGUCCAAGGUUACCAGAAGCAAGAGUAUGUGAAC
Molecule: long non-coding RNA, 119 nt
Filed under: Monodelphis domestica (gray short-tailed opossum)
Lineage: Eukaryota; Metazoa; Chordata; Mammalia; Didelphimorphia; Didelphidae
Description: lncRNA (ENSMODG00000035506.2)
Source: RNAcentral